This 112-nucleotide ribosomal RNA is filed under the name Salmonella enterica. Lineage: Bacteria; Pseudomonadati; Pseudomonadota; Gammaproteobacteria; Enterobacterales; Enterobacteriaceae. The record is from RNAcentral.
GCGGCACUAGCGCGGUGGUCCCACCUGACCCCAUGCCGAACUCAGAAGUGAAACGCCGUAGCGCCGAUGGUAGUGUGGGGUUUCCCCAUGCGAGAGUAGGGAACUGCCAGGC